UACGAAGGGGGCUAGCGUUGCUCGGAAUCACUGGGCGUAAAGCGCACGUAGGCGGCUUUUUAAGUCAGGGGUGAAAUCCUGGAGCUCAACUCCAGAACUGCCUUUGAUACUGGCGAUCUCGAGUCCGGGAGAGGUGAGUGGAACUGCGAGUGUAGAGGUGAAAUUCGUAGAUAUUCGCAGGAACACCAGUGGCGAAGGCGGCUCACUGGACCACAACUGACGCUGAGGUGCGAAAGCGUGGGGAGCAAACAGGG
RNAcentral lists this ribosomal RNA (254 nucleotides) under uncultured bacterium. RNAcentral describes it as "partial 16S ribosomal RNA". It matches the Rfam family "Bacterial small subunit ribosomal RNA", at positions 524 to 777 of the family's 1533-position model. The record is from RNAcentral.